This 229-nucleotide ribosomal RNA is filed under the name uncultured bacterium. RNAcentral's name for it is "partial 16S ribosomal RNA". It matches the Rfam family "Bacterial small subunit ribosomal RNA", at positions 568 to 796 of the family's 1533-position model. The record is from RNAcentral.
UGCGUAGGCGGAAUGAUAAGUUAGUGGUGAAAGCCCCCGGCUCAACCGGGGAACUGCCAUUAAUACUGUCAUUCUUGAGUAUAGUUGAAGUGGGCGGAAUGUAUCAUGUAGCGGUGAAAUGCUUAGAUAUGAUACAGAACACCGAUAGCGUAGGCAGCUUGCUAAACUAUAACUGACGCUCAGGCACGAAAGCGUGGGGAGCGAACAGGGUUAGAUACCCUGGUAGUCC